AACGAACGCUGGCGGCAUGCCUAACACAUGCAAGUCGAACGAGACCUUCGGGUCUAGUGGCGCACGGGUUCGUAACGCGUGGGAACCUGCCCUUAGGUUCGGAAUAACUCCCCGAAAGGGGUGCUAAUACCGGAUAAUGUCUUCGGACCAAAGAUUUAUUGCCUUUGGAUGGGCCCGCGUUGGAUUAGCUAGUUGGUAGGGUAAAAGCCUACCAAGGCGACGAUCCAUAGCUGGUCUGAGAGGAUGAUCAGCCACACUGGGACUGAGACACGGCCCAGACUCCUACGGGAGGCAGCAGUGGGGAAUAUUGGACAAUGGGCGAAAGCCUGAUCCAGCAAUGCCGCGUGAGUGAUGAAGGCCUUAGGGUUGUAAAGCUCUUUUACCCGGGAUGAUAAUGACAGUACCGGGAGAAUAAGCUCCGGCUAACUACGUG
Molecule: ribosomal RNA, 433 nt
Filed under: uncultured bacterium
Lineage: Bacteria
Description: partial 16S ribosomal RNA
Rfam family: Bacterial small subunit ribosomal RNA
Source: RNAcentral